RNAcentral lists this ribosomal RNA (167 nucleotides) under uncultured bacterium. RNAcentral describes it as "partial 16S ribosomal RNA". It matches the Rfam family "Bacterial small subunit ribosomal RNA", at positions 352 to 511 of the family's 1533-position model. The record is from RNAcentral.
CAGUAGGGAAUCUUCCACAAUGGGCGAAAGCCUGAUGGAGCAACGCCGCGUGUGUGAUGAAGGGUUUCGGCUCGUAAAACACUGUUGUAAGAGAAGAAUGACAUUGAGAGUAACUGUUCAAUGUGUGACGGUAUCUUACCAGAAAGGAACGGCUAAAUACGUGCUAG